This 459-nucleotide ribosomal RNA is filed under the name uncultured bacterium. RNAcentral's name for it is "partial 16S ribosomal RNA". It matches the Rfam family "Bacterial small subunit ribosomal RNA", at positions 338 to 795 of the family's 1533-position model. The record is from RNAcentral.
CCUACGGGUGGCAGCAGUGAGGAAUAUUGGUCAAUGGGCGAGAGCCUGAACCAGCCAAGUCGCGUGAGGGAAGACGGUCCUCUGGAUUGUAAACCUCUUUUGCCGGGGAGCAAAACGCGGUACGUGUACCGCCUCGAGAGUACCCGGAGAAAAAGCAUCGGCUAACUCCGUGCCAGCAGCCGCGGUAAUACGGAGGAUGCGAGCGUUAUCCGGAUUUAUUGGGUUUAAAGGGUGCGCAGGCGGCGAGUUAAGUCAGCGGUAAAAUUUCGGGGCUCAACCCCGACAAGCCGUUGAAACUGGCGGGCUAGAGUGGGCGAGAAGUAUGCGGAAUGCGUGGUGUAGCGGUGAAAUGCAUAGAUAUCACGCAGAACUCCGAUUGCGAAGGCAGCAUACCGGCGCCCAACUGACGCUCAGGCACGAAAGCGUGGGUAUCGAACAGGAUUAGAUACCCUGGUAGUC